CUGCAGACUGGGAUAACUUCNGGAAACCGGAGCUAAUACCGGAUAACACCGAAAACCGCAUGGUUUUCNGUUGAAAGGCGGCUUUUAGCUGUCACUGCAGGAUGGGCCCGCGGCGCAUUAGCUAGUUGGCGAGGUAACGGCUCACCAAGGCGACGAUGCGUAGCCGACCUGAGAGGGUGACCGGCCACACUGGGACUGAGACACGGCCCAGACUCCUACGGGAGGCAGCAGNAGGGAAUCUUCCGCAAUGGACGAAAGUCUGACGGAGCAACG
This 273-nucleotide ribosomal RNA is filed under the name uncultured bacterium. RNAcentral's name for it is "partial 16S ribosomal RNA". It matches the Rfam family "Bacterial small subunit ribosomal RNA", at positions 131 to 396 of the family's 1533-position model. The record is from RNAcentral.